AGGAAUUACUGUUGCGGGUUAACGCUCGUAGUUGGGUAUUUGCUGAAAACCAACGGUCGACCCCAGUGGUAAGUACUUGUUGCGUCCUCUGCGUCUUUCUGGUUAAUGUAUUUACACUUAAAUGUGUGGCGGAGGCCAGUGUUUUUUACUUUGAGGAAAUGAGAGUGCUUUAAACAGGCGUCUGCCGUGAAUAUGCUAGCAUGGAAUAACAUUAUAGACCGCGUUCUCAAUCUGUUGGUUUUUAGAGCGAAGUAAUCCCAAAAGGAAUAGUUGGGGGUAUUUGUAUUUUACUGUCAGAGGUGAAAUUCUUAGAUCUUUAAAAGACGAGCUACUGCGAAAGCAUCUUCCCAGUAUGUUUUUAUUAAUCAAGAACGAAAGUUAGGGGAUCGAAGACGAUCAGAUACCGUCCUAGUCUUAACAUUAAACCAUGCCGACCAGAGAUUGGCGUCGUCGAAAUAUAGACGACAUCGGCGUCUCGAGAGAAAUCAAAGUCUUUGGGUUCCGGGGGGAGUAUGGUCGCAAGGCUGAAACUUAAAGGAAUUGACGGAAGGGCACCACCAGGAGUGGAGCUUGCGGCUUAAUUUGACUCAACACGGGGAAACUCACUAGGUCCAAACGUAGGGAGGAUUGACAGACUGAUAGCUCUUUCUUAAUUUUAUGGGUGGUGGUGCAUGGGCCGUUCUUAGUUGGUGGAGCGAUUUGUCUGGUUAAUUCCGUUAACGAACGAGACCUUAACCUGUUAACUAAUUCUCGAGAAUACCAGAUUCGCACUGAG
Molecule: ribosomal RNA, 775 nt
Filed under: uncultured eukaryote
Lineage: Eukaryota
Description: bacterial SSU rRNA
Rfam family: Eukaryotic small subunit ribosomal RNA
Source: RNAcentral